UGCCUUGUCUUUUAAAAAAUCUGAAAACCUCUGAAUUCUUAAUCCAGCCACUGCCAGGGUUCUGGAUAAGAGAUUGUGAACCUAAAACACAGAGUUGUUAUUUCUGAUAGACGAGGGGACCCAACCAGAUGGCUCAGCUCGUCAAGCCUUUAGUCCCAUCCCUGACAAAGUCUAAGGCGACAUAAUCCCACGUUAAACCCCGGACUCCAAUGCUUCCUCUGUCCUGCCCUGUGUCCAAGCAGUGAGGCCUUCAGGCUGGCUGGGCAGAGAGAUGACCACAGCACUGACCCUCCUGCAGCUUCUCCAUGUGGAUAAGGCGGAUUCUUUACCAACUGAGCUCUCAGGGAAGCGCCAACCAAGAGAAGACUGGGCAGGCAAGCCCUGCAGGGGGGGAGCACACAGGACUGGACGUGAAGGGAUCAUCCUGAGUGCUCUGGACCAGGAGCUCUGCUGAGUCCAGACAGGCUGAGGGACUUGGAGGAAGGGAUUCAUCUCCACCUUUGCCAGCCCUCUCCACUCCGGGGCUUCCUUGUAGAGCUGAUGGAUGGCGUGAGAC
This is a long non-coding RNA of Cervus elaphus (red deer), 556 nucleotides long. RefSeq lists it as uncharacterized. Lineage: Eukaryota; Metazoa; Chordata; Mammalia; Artiodactyla; Cervidae. The transcript is spliced from 4 exons. The record is from RefSeq and is a predicted model, not a curated record.